GACGAACGCUGGCGGCGUGCCUAACACAUGCAAGUCGAACGGAGUUUAAUAACGGAAGCCUUCGGGCGGAAGAUAUUAAACUUAGUGGCGGACGGGUGAGUAACGCGUGAGCAACCUGCCUCUCAGAGGGGGAUAACGUUUGGAAACGACUGCUAAUACCGCAUAAGCCCAUAGCUCCGCAUGGAGCAGAGGGAAAAGGAGUGAUCCGCUUUGAGAUGGCCUCGCGUCCGAUUAGCUAGUUGGUGAGGUAACGGCCCACCAAGGCGACGAUCGGUAGCCGGACUGAGAGGUUGAUCGGCCACAUUGGGACUGAGACACGGCCCAG
Molecule: ribosomal RNA, 325 nt
Filed under: uncultured bacterium
Lineage: Bacteria
Description: bacterial SSU rRNA
Rfam family: Bacterial small subunit ribosomal RNA
Source: RNAcentral